CCACUGAAAUGUCUCGCCUUCUUUACUAAUCAUUGAUAUUAUGUUGAUACUCCUAAAUAUAAAGCUUUAUUACGACUGUCACAUAAACUUAACAUGAACCAUGAAAAUGAGGUCAAGGUCAGUUGAACCAUAUGCCAGGCAGACAUUUACAGCUAACAAUGCUUCCAUACAACAAAUAUAGUUGACCUAUUGCUUAUAGUUAAAAAAUAGACCAAAACACAAAAACUUAACACAGAGCAAUGAACCGUGAAAACCAGGUCAAGGUCAAAUAAAAACCGCACGACUGACAUAUAGAUCAUAAAAUUUUCCAUAC
This 313-nucleotide long non-coding RNA is filed under the name Mytilus galloprovincialis (Mediterranean mussel). The record is from RNAcentral. Lineage: Eukaryota; Metazoa; Mollusca; Bivalvia; Mytilida; Mytilidae.